UACGUAGGUGGCAAGCGUUGUCCGGAUUUAUUGGGUUUAAAGGGUGCGUAGGCGGUCCUUUAAGUCAGUGCUGAAAUACUCUAGCUUAACUAGAGGGGUGGCAUUGAUACUGGAGGACUUGAAUGAAGUCGAGGUAGGCGGAAUUGACGGUGUAGCGGUGAAAUGCUUAGAUAUCGUCAAGAACACCGAUAGUGAAGACAGCUUACUAGGCUUAGAUUGACGCUGAGGCACGAAAGUGUGGGGAUCAAACAGG
RNAcentral lists this ribosomal RNA (253 nucleotides) under uncultured bacterium. RNAcentral describes it as "partial 16S ribosomal RNA". It matches the Rfam family "Bacterial small subunit ribosomal RNA", at positions 524 to 776 of the family's 1533-position model. The record is from RNAcentral.